Molecule: non-coding RNA, 406 nt
Organism: Rattus norvegicus (Norway rat)
Lineage: Eukaryota; Metazoa; Chordata; Mammalia; Rodentia; Muridae
Source: the annotation of a RefSeq genome assembly
CUGUGCUAUAGUCAGCUGCAAUCAGGAUACAGUGUAGACAUGAGAGUUCUCACUCAACUCCUAGGUCUCCUGAUGCUCUGGCUCUCAGGUGCUCAAUGUGACAUCCACAUGACUCAGAACCCAGUUUCUUUGUCUGCCUUUAUAGGGGACAAGGUCACCAUCACUUGCCGGGCCAGUCAAGACAUUAGUAGAUAUUUAGGCUGGUACCAACAGAAACAAGGACAAAGUCCCAAGUUUCUGAUGUAUUAUGCAUCCAACUUACUCUCUGGUGUCCCAUCAAGGUUCAGUGACAGUGGUUCUGGGACAGAGUACUCUCUCACUAUCACUGGCAUUCAGCCUGAAGAUGCUGCAACUUACUUCUGUCAACAAUGUUACAGUUACCCUCCACAGUGACAGAGAUCUUAAC